RNAcentral lists this small RNA (349 nucleotides) under Oryza sativa Japonica Group (Japanese rice). RNAcentral's name for it is "sRNA Os10g0489399". Lineage: Eukaryota; Viridiplantae; Streptophyta; Magnoliopsida; Poales; Poaceae. The record is from RNAcentral.
UCGGACCACGUGACGCGGACCUCGCCGGAGUCGGUGUCGAGGCCGAGCGCGCGCCACACGGCCGGUGACGAGUCGACGACGUCGUCCUUGCAGCCGCGCCGGGAGUCGCACUCGUCCACCACCGUCGCCUCCACGGCGCGCCGCCCGCCGCCGCCGCCGCGGCGCCCGUGUUCGCUCGGCGUGAUGCGGAUCCUCCUGUGGCACCGCCGCCCGCCGGCGAACCACUCCGUCGACAGCGCGACGAUCAGCUCGCCGUCGCUGUGGUAGUGCCCGUCGCACGCCGCCGGCCCGCCGCCGUCCUCCCCCUUCUCGAACCCGUUCACCGUCAUCACCGCCGGGAACCCGCCGU